This is a long non-coding RNA of Macrobrachium nipponense, 570 nucleotides long. RefSeq lists it as uncharacterized. The record is from RefSeq and is a predicted model, not a curated record. Lineage: Eukaryota; Metazoa; Arthropoda; Malacostraca; Decapoda; Palaemonidae. The transcript has 3 exons.
CUCGACUGUUGCUGACCAAUGCUCUGAAAUAUUGAGCGAUCUGACCGCAAAUCACAUUCUUACCUGUCAGUAUGUUUAAGACUGACGAAUACGAUCAUCCUCCAUGACGUAGAGUACUUAUUGAUCAGCAAAACUGCUUCUGACUAAGCUAAUGUUACUCGGCGCCAUCCGUAAACAAUCGGCAACCACGUCCUCGGGUCUUCCAUAUUCCAAAAUGGCCGCCCUCGUCUCUGGCUUCCUGGUCGAAAGAUCCCUUCGUACGUCCAGCGCGUCCCUGGAACUACCACCACCACCACCACCACCACACCUUGAUAUGUAAUCUGCCAAUAAAGAAAUGACCAGCGUCUGGGACGUAUAGGCUCGACAGUCGACAGCCCCCGGGAGGUGCUGCCAUCUGUUGAGACAGACACUCAACUUUCUCAAGCACAGCGGUCGAGUUUAAGGGGGGACCAUUGUAAUUUCUUCGUCUUUCUCGCCGUCUUCGACUUUCUUCGCUAAACAGGUUUCAGCGACAGUGUCGUAACCAAUUUGAAGAGUAAGGAGUAACUACGUUAUCAAUAUGAAUGUUUU